CUACGGGUUGCUCCAGUGAGGAAUAUUGCACAAUGGGGGAAACCCUGAUGCAGCAACGCCGCGUGGAGGAUGACGCAUUUCGGUGUGUAAACUCCUUUUAUCAGAGAAGAAAAUGACGGUAUCUGAUGAAUAAGCUCCGGCUAACUCCGUGCCAGCAGCCGCGGUAAUACGGAGGGAGCAAGCGUUAUUCGGAAUCACUGGGCGUAAAGGACGCGUAGGCGGGUUAUUAAGUCAGGUGUGAAAUCCAAUGGCUCAACCAUUGAACUGCACUUGAAACUGGUAACCUAGAGUAUGGAAGGGGCAGAUGGAAUUAGUGGUGUAGGGGUAAAAUCCGUAGAUAUCACUAGGAAUACCGAAAGCGAAGGCGAUCUGCUGGGACAUUACUGACGCUGAGGCGUGAAAGCGUGGGGAGCAAACAGGAUUAGAUACCCGUGUAGUC
RNAcentral lists this ribosomal RNA (439 nucleotides) under uncultured bacterium. RNAcentral's name for it is "partial 16S ribosomal RNA". It matches the Rfam family "Bacterial small subunit ribosomal RNA", at positions 339 to 795 of the family's 1533-position model. The record is from RNAcentral.